Molecule: ribosomal RNA, 253 nt
Filed under: uncultured bacterium
Lineage: Bacteria
Description: partial 16S ribosomal RNA
Rfam family: Bacterial small subunit ribosomal RNA
Source: RNAcentral
UACGGGGGGGGCAAGCGUUGUUCGGAAUUACUGGGCGUAAAGGGCUCGCAGGCGGCCAACUAAGUCAGACGUGAAAUCCCUCGGCUUAACCGGGGAACUGCAUCUGAUACUGGAUGGCUUGAGAUUGGGAGAGGGAUGCGGAAUUCCAGGUGUAGCGGUGAAAUGCGUAGAUAUCUGGAGGAACACCGGUGGCGAAGGCGGCAUCCUGGACCGGCAUUGACGCUGAGGCGCGAAAGCCAGGGGAGCAAACGGG